This 582-nucleotide ribosomal RNA is filed under the name Clostridium acetobutylicum. RNAcentral's name for it is "partial 23S ribosomal RNA". It matches the Rfam family "Bacterial large subunit ribosomal RNA", at positions 1194 to 1769 of the family's 2925-position model. The record is from RNAcentral. Lineage: Bacteria; Bacillati; Bacillota; Clostridia; Eubacteriales; Clostridiaceae.
CCGAAGCUUGGGGUGCGUAAAACUUCGGUUUUAUGCGCGGUAGAGGAGCGUUCCGUAAGCCUGCGAAGGUGGAUUGAGAAGUCUGCUGGAGGUAUCGGAAGUGCGAAUGCUGACAUGAGUAACGAUAAUGCGGGUGAAAAGCCCGCACGCCGAAAGCCCAAGGUUUCCUUGCGCAACGUUAAUCGACGCAGGGUUAGUCGGUCCCUAAGGCGAGGGCGAAAGCCGUAGUCGAUGGGAAGCAGGUUAAUAUUCCUGCACCUCGCGUGAGUGCGAUGGAGGGACGGAGAAGGUUAGGUGUACCGGGCGUUGGUUGUCCCGGGGAAAGGCGGUAGGUUUGGAUCUUUGGCAAAUCCGGGAUCCUUUAAGACCGAGCACCGAGACGAGCCUUUAUGGCGAAGUCACUGAUACCACGCUUCCAGGAAAAGCUCCUAAGCUUCAGCUCACGAAGACCGUACCGUAAACCGACACAGGUGGGUAGGAUGAGAAUUCUCAGGCGCUUGAGAGAACUCGGGUGAAGGAACUAGGCAACAUGGCACCGUAACUUCGGGAGAAGGUGCACCCUUUUUGGUGGCUCAUGCGAGC